UUUUUGGUUUGGUUCUGGUCGGAGGUUUGGCUUUUUCAAAAAUGAUACAUGAUAGUUUAUGCGGGCUUGUGAGUUUUACAAAAGUUCUAAAAGUUUUUUCCUUAGAUUUUAGUAUUUGCUAAAAUGUUGAUUUUGGGGCACAGCAUCAGUAUGAAGUUUUAGUUGUUUAUGAGUGGAAGCUUGAGUUAGUUAUUGAGAGUUAAAGUUAGCAAAUUUUGUGCCAGCAGCUGCGGUUAUGCAAAAGGCUUGAGUUAAAUUUAUGUAGUUUAUAAUUUGGUUAUUUUUGGAUUGGUUGAUGGGGUAAAGUUUAUUUGGGGGUAAAAUCCGUAGAUAUUGUUGUGUUGCGUGGUCAAAAAUUUGUGAAGAUGCCAUUUGAGGUUAAGGGGGAGACCGGGAUUAGAGACCCCGUUAUUCUUUAUAAUUACUUUUUUGUUACUGGGGGAUUAAGAGAGUGCUUAAAACUCAAAGAACUUGGCGGUGCUUUAUACAAAUUAGAGGAACCUGUCCUGUAAUCGAUAAUCCACGUUAAAGUGUUCUUUUUUUUGUUUGGUUAGUUUGUGUACUUCCGUUGUCAGCUUAUGUUUGUAGAUAAAGUAUGUGCUUUUUAAUUUUUGUUUGGACAUCAGGUCAAGGUGCAGUGGAUAAAAAAGGAGAGAUGGGUUACAUUUAGUUAAGUUUUUUGGUGCCUGUGGUGGAAAACAGAGGUUAAAUUGGAUUUAAUAGUAAUUUGGUUGAGAUUAGUAUGUUUCUUUGAAUUUUGCUCUGGAGUGUGUACAAAUUGCCCGUCGCUCUUUUCGUGCGAGAAAAGAUAAGUCGUAACAUAGUAAGGGUAGCGGAAGCUGUUCUUAGUUU
RNAcentral lists this non-coding RNA (852 nucleotides) under Yininemertes pratensis. The record is from RNAcentral. Lineage: Eukaryota; Metazoa; Nemertea; Pilidiophora; Heteronemertea; Lineidae.